This is a non-coding RNA of Rattus norvegicus (Norway rat), 12985 nucleotides long. The record is from RefSeq and is a predicted model, not a curated record. NCBI's taxonomy places the organism in Eukaryota, Metazoa, Chordata, Mammalia, Rodentia, Muridae.
GAUUUAUUUGGCUUACGCUUCCUCAUCGAAGGAAGUCAAACAGGGCAGAAACCUGGAGGCGGGAGCUGAACAGGGGCAAUGGAGGGCGCUGUUUACUGGCUUGUUCCUUGUGGCCUGUUCAGCCCGCUUUCUUCUAGAACUCAGGACCACCAGCCCAGGGAUGGCUCCACCCACCAUGGGCUGGGUCCUUCGGCAGCCGUCACUAAUUAAGAAAAAUGCCUUACAACCAGAUCUAACGGAGGCAUUUUCUCAGUUAAGGUGACUCCUUUCAGGCGACUCUAGUCAGGGUGUCAAGUUGACAGAAGACGAGCAAGCACCACUUCCUUCGCCCUUUCUUCCUUAGGAUCCAGCCAGGAAGACAAAGGACAGAAAGUCGUCUUCAAGGUGAGCCAGGAGCGAGCACUGUGAGGCCCGAAAGGGAAUCCAUCUUCCCGUAACGGACAGCACGAGGAGAAACGGACAGCACGAGGAGACCGAUGAAGCAGACGACUCCGCGGUUAGCCCUGCGCUGGGCAGACGCAGCUCCUGCAGACUAAUGAGUUGCCUGUCAAUAACUGUCACCAAUCUUUAAAGACUCAGUCUGAGGGCAUAUGUCAGGAUGGGCUACUUAGCAUUCUGAGAGAGGCAUCUGCUCCCGACAUUUCGGGGAAAUCUUUUCUUACAAAUUCUUAAUGAUUGCAGACAUCUCAGAAACAGACUCAGGGGAGCAAAGGAGGGUUAGGGUAGAUGAAGAUUGAGGCCCCUUUGAUCAGCAUCUGUUCCUGGAUGCUCACAUCAGAGCCAGGAGAGGACCUUGUACCCUAAAAUAGAGGACUCUUCAACUCUCCUACCACACACACACACACACACACACACACACACACACACAGACACCUGACAAUGUCUGUGUGUUAUGUCUCUUCAUGUCUAUGGGGUUUUUUUUUUUUUUGCAAGAGAUAUUUGUAGGAUAAAUGUAUUAAAACGUAGUUCUUAACCAAGGGAAGGAAUUUGUCCUGUAAACUAUCACUUACUGAAUAGUUAUAGGACGUCUAUUCUAAAUGCAAACCACUCCUGAUAAUUUAGAAAUGCUUGCAAGUCCCCAGUUGCCUCCCAAAGGUAUGUAGUCUCCCUGCCUUCGAUCCCUUCCUGGAAUUCUGGAAGCCCCUUAUUAGCAGUGAUUCAGAAAGGAUUGUGUGACCCUCAGGAACAGGCAUGAGCCAAAGUGGGACUCUGCUUAGCAGGAUUCUGGGGAUUGAACUCAGGUCCUCCUCCAAGCCGUUCAUUGAGCCAUCUCCCUAGUACUUACUUUAUUUCUUUCAAGGACUUGUCUGACCUGUGCUGCUCUGACAGGCUAGCACUGAGGGUUGGAGGGGAAACUGCCUUCUGGGGCUCUGUUCAGGAGAACACACACAUACACACACACACACACACACACACACACACACACAUGUAUACAUAUAUAUAUAUAUAUAUAUGGAAUUUAUUAGAAUGGCUUAUAGGCUGUGGUCCAGCUAGCCCAACAAUUUCUAUCUACCUGCAAAAGGUCCAAGAAUUCAGUCCGUGAGGCCGAAUGUCUCAGCUGAUCUUUGGUAUAUGCCAGAAUCCUGAAGAAGUAGGCUCUGAUGCCAGUGAAGGAAUGGACUUGACAGAGAGGGGGAUGGGAAGCAGGCAGAGAGAGCAACCAACCUCCUCCUUCCGUGUUCUCUCUAUAGGCUGCCAGUAGAAAGUAUGGCUCAGAGUAAGGAAGGACCUUUCUACCACAAAAGAGCCGGAUUAGAAGUGGGAUUAGAAGUGGGACUUCCCGCUCUAAAUGGUUUCAUUUAGAAAAGGAAGUUCCUCACUGGUGUGGACCCAGCCAUUUGGAUUUUAGUUCAUUCCAGAUGCAGUCAGGUUGACAAGUAGGAACAGCCAUCACAGCAGAUAACUGGAUAACAAGUUAUCUUCAGCAUUUAGUCCACAGCCCAGAUUUAAAUUUCUCGCAGCCCUAGCUACUGUGCUAGGAAGACAAACAGGGGAGUUUGCCAGCCUCGACUGGGGACUCGUGCUCAAAUGGGAAUUCUUUUUUUUUUAAGGCUACCUAGUGCUCUACUUAAAGUCAAAAAAUGAUAUGUUUGGGUGGCAUGCAUGUUCGUGUGAUUGAGACAGGUUAUUUUUCUCUGCAUGUUUUUAUUGGUUUUUAUUGAAAUAUCGAUCUGACUGCGUGCAGAAUGGCUACCUGGGUGGGAAUUCAAGCAAAUGUAUGGGAAUCUUUGCUGGGUUUUUUUUUUUUUUUUUGAUUCGCUUACCCCGCGAGAAGCAUAAAAGAACUCAUUUCAACUUCGUUUAUUUCAUAUCACGGCCUCCUAUUUAGUCGCCAAUAUUCUGUGCAUUAGGGAAGUUUGUUUCGACAAUAAAACAAAAGAAAAAAAAGGUACAAGCAGCCUUUUCCUACACCUUUCCUACACGGCAUGAUGUUUCUCUGCCGUGCGCCAGAAGUUGGCUCUUACCAUAUUUCCUUCUACUGUAUAAUUUUAGAAUUUAUUUGUAGGUUGGAAUGGCUAUGACUACUGCCUAUAAGGAGCUAAUUCCGGCUGCGUUCCAACAAAGGGCUUUUGAUUUACAGGACUAGAACCCCACAACUUUUCCACGAAAUCUCAUUUUUCAAAUCACUUCCGGUGGGUGCCUGACAGUCGGCCUGUGGUCAAAUCCUGAAUUUCGUAGUGAAGUGAACUCGUUUUAUUCACCUUAGGAGUUAGCAAACAAGUAUUUCGGGCUUGAUUGGCAGGAGACACUGAGAGGAAGGAACCUAAGAAGCAUUUACUAAGCAAAGCCCCUUUCAUGAAAUAUAUUUUAAUCCUCAAACAACCCUCAGGGGGCCUACAGGAGCUGCUCACCCAGCUGAAGGUUUGUCCUCAGCUGCCACCUAAGUGAGCACUGUCGCAAGGAGACUCUCACCUCACAGGGGACAAGAGACUGUUUAUUCCGGAGCCAAAUGUGAGUGACCACAGCCAGGAAAAUAUCCCAGUUACUCCAGAUUCCAUGUUCUAAUGUGGAAGACGUUUCCAUAGCAACAGAACAAAGAAAAGCACAAAGCGGGACUUUUUCAGAUACACUGGUGGAAACAUAGACGGUCAGGAUAAAGCCAGGAGAAAUCAGGUCAGUUCUAAGUCUCUGUGCUGUCUGAUGACAUUUCUAGCUUUUUAGUCGGUGGAAACCAGGAUUUUUGACAAGCUAACGCACUCUGGAAGGGUUUAUCUCUUAGCAAAGGGAUAUUAAGUCAGAGGUAGACCUGUAUGAGGAAUGGCUAUUUAAAGAGCUAAAAAGUAACCCUUCUGGACCCACAUCAUUCUAACCGCUCCACAGGAUUGAGUUCAAACCAGUUAAUCAGAAAGCUCGGUGGAAGGUACAGCUUCCUUUUGGAAACUUCUGAUCACAGGACAUGGCUGGGAACGUGCCCUGCACCAAUAGGCGCUUGUCCUAGAUGACAGACCGGCCCCCACAGCUGGGCUACAGUGGGGAGUAUCCUCAGCCUGUUUUUUUCUCUGGAAUGUUGGCACACAACAGGUGGACAACCUCAUUCUGAAGAUGCCAUUCAACCCACGGCGCUUUGUUUUAUUUUAUACCUAUGUGCGUCUGUGUGCCACGUGCAUGCAGUACCGGCAGAGGCCAGAAGGAGGCGACAGAGUUCUUGAAACUGUCAUCGCUGGUCACUGCAAAGUAUCGCAGCCACAAGACUGGGGUCUCAGGACUUGAUUUGCAGACACACAGGCCUUUUGAGUCAAAAGCCUUUCUUGUCAGAGCAGAGGGUUUGUCCUCUCAAAACACUGGGCUGUCGCAGGUGAAGCCCACAUCUCCUUCUGCCGCAACGCUUUACGACGAAACAGUUGGGGAGUGAGAGCUUGGAAUUCCACAGAAGGAUUUGGGGCUCGGGUUUUAAAACUUAGCUGUCAUUGGCCCUUCUAGCCAUGCGUGGGAAUUACAAUAGACUCUUUACGAAGUCAUAAAAUUAUUUACCUGUAAACUGGAACCGUUGAACACCAAUUGUGCCCAUUCUUUGUAAACUCUUGGCUGUAAAAAACAGAGAAAGGAAGGCCCACAAGACACAGUUGCCUUGGGGUCCCAGUAACGCUAGAGUCCAGACCCUAAAGCCCAGUUCAUAGCUGUUCCAUCUAUCGGAUGGCCCUCAGGAUCAUGUGAGGUUUGGACGGAAAGCAUCGUUGAAUGUAGGAGCUGCAUAGAGAAGACCCUCAAGCCACAGGACGAAGAGAAGAGUUGAGUCAAAACGGGAGGAAUUCACUUGUAACUGAAAGAAAGAGGUCCUAGGGAAGGCUUGCGUUUACAUCCGACCUCAUUCAAAACAAAGCCCAUUUUAGCGGUGGAAAGAUGGCUCAGUGGUUAAGAGCACUGGCUGCUCUGGCAGAGGACCUGAGUUCGAUUCCCACUACCCACAGGGUGACUCACACCCUCCCAUUACUCUAGCUCCAGGGAUCUGAUGCCCUCUUCUGGCCUCUUUGGUCACUGCACCCACGUGCACAUACCAACACAGACGUACACAUAAUUACAAAAUAAUAAGGAUAAAUCUUUUCUCUAAAAAACUGUAGCUUAGGGGUUGGGGAUUUAGCUCAGUGGUAGAGCGCUUGCCUAGCAGGCGCAAGGCCCUGGGUUCGGUCCCCAGCUCCGAAAAAAAGAAAAGAAAAAAGAAAAAAAAUGUAGCUUACACUACUUAUAAGCCAACUGGACUACAUCUGAAUGUCAGGAUGCUACCUCAUCCCCAUUUAUAUACAGUAAUUUGUCAAAAAAAAAAGUUCUCUUUCCUCUAAUUGUUCAGCCAAAUCUGAACUAUGCCAAAUCUAUCUAAAUAGCUCAUGUUUGUCCAGCCCACCCUUAAUAACCCCACCCAGUCCAAGUGUAACAAGAAAACCUUGGGCUUUAUGACCUAAAAAUGGCCAGGAGGAUAGGCAUUGAAAGAUGUGACAUUUAAAGAAAGAGGAGACUCCUUUUUAAAAUAAAUGACCGGCUGACACGAAAUGCAUUAAUUCCUGAAGCACAGCCCUGAGGACUUGCAGAAAGACGUGAAGCUAAAGUGUGAUUUUCAUCUUGCUGUAAAUGACUCAACCCAGGCAAAGAAAAGGACCCCGGGAUAACCCAUCCUUGGACAUUGGGUGCUGGGCACUUUCUAGAAUGCGUUGACACUGAUAUAGGAAGGAUGCUUUGAGAGGGUGCCAGUCGGUGGGCAAGAUCAGACUGAGAAGGAUGGUGGGAGCGCCUGCUCCAAGCCUUACACUUACAAGAGACAUGUUACUUACACUUUCAAACAAGUAGGCUGCCCAGCAAUCCUCCUGCUGAUUUCAUUAUUAAAGUAUCUGUCUCAUUGAUCAUGGUUGAAGGACCACAGGGCCCUGGGGAUUCACAGAGGCAAUUUUCAGUGAUUCUGUUCAAACUCCCUCUUCCUUUAAGACCUCCAGAAAAGGAAAUAAAAAGAAAGGAAAAGAAAGAAAAAAGAAAACUUCCUAUGCAGGCAUCUGUCAGCCAUCCCCCUUAGCUAGAGUCCGUUUUCUGAAAGCCUCAAGUUGUGCAGAGCAGUAAUGGGGAGCAUCGGAAACCAGCCACACGGAUGGAUGGAGGUCAACGAAGGCACCGCCCUUCGUCAAAAAACAUCAAAAUGCAAAAGUAUAGAGGGCAGCCUUUGCCACUCACGGUGAUAGAACGGGCCAAAAUGUGUGCUCGCAGAUGCUAUUAAGCCUUUCUGAAAGACGCUAUUGACCACAUCGUGAGAGGUCUUUUGUUGCUGGCCCUCACAAGUCCUAUCUAGUCUAGAACAACCGAGGAAUCUAACUGAAGACACACUCUGCAAAUACCACGUGACCACAUGACUAGGCCAGGGAAUACAUAGAAGUGGGUGCUCCUAAACCCCACGACUGAUUGGUUGGAAUGGACUCCAGUAGACUGUACCCACACUUUCAAAUAUGCUGUCCAAAACACAGAGGGUUGUUUCUGUAACCCAAAAUAAAUUUUAACCUUCGGGGAGAUGAUCCUAUCUCUCACUUGGAGAGAAAGCCAGGAGAGCACAACCCACCACAGGAUUGUUUUUUAUUUGGCCAUGAGUGAGCAUGUGACCCUAUCCUGGCCAAUGAGAGAAAAAGAGCUCCAAGGACCCUGGGAAAAGCCGCCUUCCGCACAGACUUGGCUGGGUUUACAGGUACGCUGGGAGAAUCUGCGGCCAUUCCCUCCAGGAUGGGAAACCCCUGAGGAGUCACAAUUAACAAAAGGAUAGAAAAUGCAUCGUAAGCUCCUGGGACACCCUGCGCUGGUGCCCUUGGGACACCAUUGCCCUUGAGACACUCCGUGUGGGAUUCUGAAGUUUUCUUUGUACUUAAGUUGGUUGUGUGUAUUUACUGUUAUCUAACGUCAAAAGGACCUUUAUGUAAAUUCUGUGUUGCCUUUCGUCGUGGACUCUUGGGUGAGUGCUAACGAAUCGUCUUUUUAAUUGAUGUUAUUUUAAUCUUAUGUGUAGAUGUGUACAGAUGGUUUUUUUUUUUUUGCCCGGCUGUCUGCGCUUCAUGUUUAUGCAGUACCUAUGGAGGCCAGAAGAGGGCGUCAGAUGCCCUUGAGCUGCAAUUACAGGAGGUUGUGAGCUACCGUGUGGGUAAAGAGACUUGAACCCAGAUCUUCUGCAAGAGCGGCCGGUCCUCUUCUCCGCUCUGCCAUCUCUCUAACUCCACGUUACUCUUAGUGCUGUGACCAAACACUGGAAAGAAGCUACUUAAGGGCGAAAGAGUUUAGACUGCCCUGUGGUUGGAGUGUCCAGCCCAUUACGAUGUGUGGCCUGGGUCAAUCAGUCUACAGCCGGAGCUUAGUACAGUGAAGAACAGGAAGCAGAGACCGGGCUGGAAGACAGCGCUGGAAUCUUCGAGCCCCACCUUACUUACGCCCAUGACCUGCUUCCUCCUGUUUCCCAAAAGCCCCAGAAUCUCCUCAAACAAUGCCACCCCGGCUGAAGGCUGAGCGUUCAUCCCUAGGAGCUGAUAAGGUACACUUCAAAACCAAACCUACAGCAUUUCCGGCACCUCUGGAAUUCGGACCUCUGACCAUGCGUUUUUAAGAUGGAUGUGAUUUGAAAGAGUGGAUUAGGAAACUAAUCCAUCACAUCCAAUGUUCAUCACCUACUGGGACCUCGAGACUCUGACACAACUGAGGCCUCAAUCUGUAAAAUGGGAAUAAACACAGCCCCCCACAGGUUCACUGUGCUUUCUCACCAGUGGUCCCUGGUACGUAGUAAAUGCUCAAUAAAUCUCAUCAUUGGGUUUCUCUCACGUCCCCUCAAAUACAGUGAGUGCCACGCUCUGUGUGCAGCAAACAUUCCAGCCCUGAGGGUGGAGGUAUCAGGUGGCACACAUGUCCUCAAGACACAGCCGCAGACUGGCAACCUCCCCAGUCAAAGAAAUCAUAACCAAUUCGAGGUCGGUAGGACAGAGGGUAUCCUACCUGAAUGAUGGCGCUGCGUUGUGAAAUGAUGGGGGGUGGGGGGAGGGGUACUGUGCUGUCAAAGCUGCCUGGAUUCACAGAGGAGAGUCACUGUGACCUAAGGGAAGGGGGACUGCGUUUGAAGUUUGAAGCAGAUUGUGAAAUGGAACGUGGGUGUUCUAAAGUAGGAGAGGGUCAUAUGGAGGACUCACAGAACUGCUGGAAAGUCAACGUUGAGGCCACCUGACUGCGAUGGUUUGUAUAUGCUUAGCCCAGGGAAUGGCACUAUUAGGAGAUGAGGCCCUGUUGGAGUCGGUAUGGCACUGUAGGUGUGGGCUUUAAGUCCCUCACCCUAGCUCCCUGGAAGCCAGCCUUCUCCUAGCAGCCUUCAGAUGAAGACGUAGACCUCUCAGCUCCUCCUGCACCAUGCCUGCCUGGAUGCUGCCAUGUUCCCACCUUGAUGAAAAUGGACUGAGCCUCUGAACCUGUAAGCCAGCCCCAGUUAAAUGUUUUUCUUAUAAGAUUUGCCUUGGCCAUGGGUUCACAGCAGUAAAACCUUAACUAAGACAGAAAUUGCUACCAGAGACUGGGUUAUUGCUGUGAUCGGCCUGACUGUGUUUUUGUUUGGACAAAUGUGGAUUUGGGGACUUAGGAUUUGGAAAGCAGUGGAAUGCUUAAAGUGGGGCUUAAUGGGCUUUUCUAGUAGGAAUAUGGAAGACGUGGUGCUGAGGGUCAUUUGAACAAUGGGGGCUCAAGAGUUUUCAAAGGCAAAGAACAUUAGUAUGUGGCCUAGAGACUGUUCUUGUGAUAUUUUGGUAAAGAACGUGGCUGCUUUUUGCCCAUGUCUGAAGAGUCUGUCUGAGGCUCAAGUGAAGAGACUCAGAUUAAUUGUAUUGAGCAAAGAAGUCUCGGAAACGCCCAGCAGAGACUUUGUUCCCUGGUUAAGUCUCAGGAAGAGCGUUUUGAACAAGCGUAGCAAGCUUAGAAAGGAAAAAUAUAAAAUAUAUGGUUCGUGUAUUGAAGGAGCUACCAGGAAUUGAAUCUUCUGUUCAAGGAUAUUAAAUUGCGUUAAGGGAGUGGUAAGAUCCUACCCAGCUAAGUUUAGGUACAGGUAGGGUGGACCAUGCCUUUAACCCCAGCAUUCAGAAGACAGAGUCAUGCAGAUCUCUGAGUUCAAGGUCAGUCUACAGAGCAAGCUCCAGGACAGCCAAGCUUAGGCAGUGAAGGAGUUGGAAAACAGAAAGCUGGUGCUGAUGUCAUAGAACAAGGGGGCCAUGUUCCAGCUCCAGCAGGCAGCAGAACUCAGCAGCUUCAGCCAUGUGGCUCUGGCUCUAGAGUCAAAAAUAGAAGGGACAAUUGAUGCUGGUCAGCUAGAGCUAAGAAAUGAGUGGUGAUUAAGAAGAGACCAGCAUCACUGAGGUGAAAUCUUCUGGGGAAAUGUUUUCUGAGAUCACAAAGGAACCGUGUUCCAGAGAUAACCAAGGUUGUACCUUGUGCUGCAACUGGACUUGGGAAUGUGUAAGAGUCACCUGGGUGGUACUGGUUUAGAAGACAUGAAGAGGCCUUGGAAAGCAGGUAGGUCUUGGCACUGUGAGAGGUCGUGGAAGGCCACUGUUGAAGGUGCAGCCUCAGUUGCAGUGGACAGCCCAGGACUGAAGGGCUCAUGCAAAGAAUCUGAGGCUUGGCACCAUAAAGACAGCCUAGGAGAGGUUAUUGGAGAAGCCUAGUUGCAGCAGAACGCCCCAGUGUAUUGGAGAUGCCAGUACCCUGAGACGAUCACCAAGAACAGCAGUGACAACGGAGUGGAUCAACAUGAGGUUAGAGUGUUACAGACAGCAAAGCUGGAGAUGUGACCCAAGCCCUUUGGAGAGGCCCAGAAGAUCCUGUGUGGAUCUCAGACAUUGGAAGCUGUAACAUUGAAGUUGCCUUGGAGACCCCAAGAUGUUCAAGAUGACAGAGCCAUGAGCUAUCUGCUGAGGAAAGCUUCUAAUAGGGAGUGGAACCAGCCCAGGAGAAAGAAGUGUGUUGUCGUCAACAAAGAUGAAAAAAGAGUUGGGAGGUCUGAAGAUUGCUUUGACAUCACACAUGGAGAAGGCAGAGUUUGCAGUUUGCCCAGCUGUUUGCCUGUCUUAAUUCGGGGAUUAUAGUUCAGUGGUUGGAUGAAUCUCAGAAGAGACCUUCAACUUUGGACUUUUAACAUUGUUGAGACUGCUAUAGACUAUGGGGACUCUGGAAGUUGGACUAAUUGUAUUUUGCAUUAUGCUAUAUUUAGGUGUAUGAAUAAGCCUAUGGGGGCCAGGGAGUGAAACGUGAUGGUUUGUAUAUGCUUGGCUCAGGGAGUGGCACUAUUAGAAGGUGCGGCCCUUUUAGAGUAGGUGUGUCACUGUGGGCAUGAGCCUUAAGACCCUCAUCCUAGCUCCCUGAAAGCCAGUCUUCUCCUGUCUGCCUUCGGAUGAAGAUGUAGAACUCUCAGCUCCACCCGCACCAUGCCUACCUGGAUGCUGCCCUGCUCCCACCUUGAUGAUAAUGGACUGAACCUCUGAACCUGUAAGCCAGCCCCAGUUAAAUACUGUCUUUGUAAGAGUUGCCUUGGUCACAUUGUCUGUGCACAGCAGUAAAACCCUAACUAAGACACUGACUUUGCUCUUUAACGUUGUUGCCUCAGUGGACAGUGGACAUGCCCAGGAUGAAGCCAAGUCUUGACAUGGGACCUACAUGUCAGAUGGGGCCUGGCAGAGGUGAGGACUCUUCGUGCAGUGGCCGUCUUUGCAUUGCUAUGACCAUAACACCCAGGAGAUACGAAUUAAAGAAGCAGGGAAUUAUCUUGAUUUCUGGCAUCAAGAGGCUUCCAUCCAUCAUAGUGAGGAAGGCACGGCUUGCAUCUCAUCCUAAAAACGUGGUAGAGCCUGUUCCCAUCGUGCCAGCGAGCAGAGAGAAUGACAAGAAUUGGCCAGGGAAAAUGUACUUUCUAAGAACCUGGGCCUCACGGCCUAAUUUCUUCUAGCUAAGCUUCUCUUUCCAAAGUUUCCAGAAAUGUCCAAAAUAGCACUGCCCCCUGGGAACCAAGCUAUCCAAUCGUGAACCUGUCGGGACAUCUCAGACCCAAACCAAACCCAACGAGAGUCGUUUGCUUUGUUUCCUCAUUUCAAACCUCGUUUCACACUGCUGUGAUUUAAAACAAACAAACAAAAAAGCCUGACCAAAUCCACACAGUGUCACCUCCAGCUGAGGACUUUAGAGCCAGAGGAGGGUGACAGGCACCACGGAGAGCCUAGGAACCCCUGUCUAUGGAAUGGUACCACCCUCAGUGGACUCAACCCCCCUACAUCAAUUAACAGCCAAGACAAUCCCCAUGUAGACACAUCCACUGGCCCGCCUGAUGUAGACAAGCCCUCCACUGAGGCUUCUCUCCGAUGGCUCUGGACUGCAUCCCACUAACAGUUCAAACUAAUCAGGACACCUUGCUUAGCCACAAGGAUGAAAAUGUGACAAUUUCAUAUUCAUGCAAAAAGAAAAAAAAAUAAGUCCUGCUUGGAGCCAAGACUGGCUCUCCUGUUGGAGAGAUAGAGGAAAAAAAUCCUCCCCUGCACCCCCACCCUGUGACUUCCCUAGUGAUUGGCAUAAGGUUAGGGGUGAGAGAGCUAGAAUAUACAAAUGGAUUCAAAUGCAUCUGCUUCCCCUUGAUAGACAGGUCCCCCUUCCAUAUCACAUCUGGCCACUGUCCCCACACUGUUGGCAGAACCCAAGUCCUUGUGCUGGGUAAUCAUGAAGAAAAUGCUUUCUGGUUCUUUUAAUUGACUUCUCACUCGGCCUCGGAUGUCAGGGUUGGUUUCUCAUGACACCUUCUUCCCGUGUCUUAGGCGACGGCCAUUAGUUAUGCGCCAGCUAUUGGAAAAUUUGGAGAUGGCUGGCAUUGAGGAGUCACGAUGCUCAGCAUUGCCUGCUGAUGAAGGAUUAUUGAUUUUGCUCCAAGAAUAGACGGGGGAAAAAAAUUAAAUGCUGAGUUAGGGUGAGUGCCCCCAGAAUAUCCAUCCUCCCCUUCGGCAAGCAAGGGAUGCGGGAGACCUUGCAAUGGACACUUGAGGGACAUUUGUACCUCCGCCUUGGCCCAUCUGCCUUCUCUGCUCCUGCCCAGCCCUUCCCAGGCUGCCUAAGGCUCCACAGUCUAGAAAAUGUGAUACCUGAUUUACAGGCACACACUUGAGAAGAGGCAGCCUCCUGCAUCCAGCAGCUGGACAGGCAGCGGUACAAGUACUGCCUCAUAGUAGGGGACAAAACAGGGCAGGAAGGAAGCUGAUGAUAAUUUUCUAAUAGAGUCUGAAUGCGGUGUGAUUUUCCCAGUGGGCUUUGAGAGUCAGGGUGGGGACAUAAUUGGGUUUGAUUUUCAUAUCUGUACUUCUGGAACUGGAAAAGUUUAGGCUAUGCAUGAGGAAGUGGGUAUGGAAAGAAGGAGGGAGGGAGGGUGGAGAGAGGGAAUGUCACAGGAACUAAGAUGCCAAGAGCCUAAUGUUGGACCAUUCAUCUGAAAAUGUCCUGUGCUUGCAUAAGAACCAACCUUGAUUGCCCUGGUCAAUUCCAUCCAAAAACUUCAUGGCCCAGGGACUGCCCCUGAUUAUCUCUUGGGGAACAGUGGGACCAUUGAGACUUGAGACCAGACUUCAUAUCUGUUUCUGGGAUUUCCUCAUCCGGCUCUCAGCUCCCAGCCGGGGACCCCUCCCUCCACGCAGGUCCUUCUCAGAGCACCAUGUGGUCUCUCUGAGCUCUAAACUUGUGGCUUUGUAAACCACUCAGCGUUGUUAUACAGAAAACAUACUGUUGUUCCAUGGAGACUCCAUGAAAUGCAACUGACACAGCCCAGAGCCGCCAUAUACAAGGGUGGGCACAGCUCCAUCUGAUCAUUCAAUCCAGGAGCCCCUUGACAGUGCAAGAUGGCCUCUGUUACCCCUCCCCCUCUACCACACAUCCUACCAUUCUCAUUGGAAGUGGCUCUUUGUCCUUGCAAAUCUUUCUGGGAUAUCAGGCAUGAAGAACGUUAUCCUCUCCUUGUCUGACUCACGACGUAGGGACCGACCUCAGAGCUGAGUCGGGAUUCACGUAUGAACUCAGAGAGUGACUUCCUGCCAAUCAGGGUCACUGGAAGAUCAGAUUCAACUUUCUGAGGUGGACAUUUCUGGUCUUUGUUGGGCUUUGCUGACACUGGGCUUCGCUAUUGAUGCUCUGGCAUUGGUUUGCCUUGUUUUCUUCACUGAUCUUUGCUUGUCGUGACUUCGUACAGAGAAAUACACCAAAAACCUUCUGGAGGUGUUCUGGCUGCUUCUUGCUGCUUCAACAGACUCACGCUGAUAGGUGGAGCCUCGCGGUUUCUUCUGGAUUUAGCCACUGCUGCUGAUUCGAGUAGACUGGACUGCUGACAACAAAGACUGGAAUCGCCCCAAAGAACUACUUCUAAACAGGUCCACAUCCCCCUUGUCCUAUUAGCCAACUUCCUCUCCUACCUUUUGCCCGUGGGCUAUAAGGGAGAUUAAAGCCUUUAAGGACUUUUAUUAAAGUAGGAUUUGAAAAA